This 486-nucleotide ribosomal RNA is filed under the name uncultured bacterium. RNAcentral describes it as "partial 16S ribosomal RNA". It matches the Rfam family "Bacterial small subunit ribosomal RNA", at positions 30 to 507 of the family's 1533-position model. The record is from RNAcentral.
AUUGAACGCUGGCGGCAUGCCUUACACAUGCAAGUCGAACGGCAGCACGGGUGCUUGCACCUGGUGGCGAGUGGCGAACGGGUGAGUAAUACAUCGGAACAUGUCCUGUAGUGGGGGAUAGCCCGGCGAAAGCCGGAUUAAUACCGCAUACGAUCCACGGAUGAAAGCGGGGGACCUUCGGGCCUCGCGCUAUAGGGUUGGCCGAUGGCUGAUUAGCUAGUUGGUGGGGUAAAGGCCUACCAAGGCGACGAUCAGUAGCUGGUCUGAGAGGACGACCAGCCACACUGGGGCUGAGACACGGCCCAGACUCCUACGGGAGGCAGCAGUGGGGAAUUUUGGACAAUGGGCGAAAGCCUGAUCCAGCAAUGCCGCGUGUGUGAAGAAGGCCUUCGGGUUGUAAAGCACUUUUGUCCGGAAAGAAAUCCUUGACUCUAAUACAGUCGGGGGAUGACGGUACCGGAAGAAUAAGCACCGGCUAACUACGUG